CCUACGGGAGGCUGCAGUGGGGAAUAUUGCACAAUGAGGGAAACCCUGAUGCAGCGACGCCGCGUGAAGGAAGAAGUAUUUCGGUAUGUAAACUUCUAUCAGCAGGGAAGAAAAUGACGGUACCUGACUAAGAAGCCCCGGCUAACCACGUGCCAGCAGCCGCGGGAAUACGUAGGGGGCACGCGGUAGCCGGAUAUACUGGGGGUAAAGGGAGCGGAGGCGGCGAUGCAAGUCAGAAGGGAAAGCCCGGGGCUCAACUCCGGGACUGCUUUUGAAACUGUGUUGCUAGAUUGCAGGAGAGGUAAGUGGAAUUCCUAGUGUAGCGGUGAAAUGCGUAGAUAUUAGGAAGAACACCAGUGGCGAAGGCAGCUUACUGGACUGUAAAUGACGCUGAGGCUCGAAAGCGUGGGGAGCAAACAGGAUUAGAUACCCGUGUAGUC
RNAcentral lists this ribosomal RNA (440 nucleotides) under uncultured bacterium. Its description in RNAcentral is "partial 16S ribosomal RNA". It matches the Rfam family "Bacterial small subunit ribosomal RNA", at positions 338 to 795 of the family's 1533-position model. The record is from RNAcentral.